This 439-nucleotide ribosomal RNA is filed under the name Hemiptarsenus unguicellus. RNAcentral's name for it is "eukaryotic LSU rRNA". Lineage: Eukaryota; Metazoa; Arthropoda; Insecta; Hymenoptera; Eulophidae. The record is from RNAcentral.
UCAAGAGUACGUGAAACCGUUCAGGGGUAAACCUGAGAAACCCAAAAGAUCGAAUGGGGAGAUUCAUCGUCAGCGGCUUUGGCUUCCGUGCGGUACGCGAUGGCGGGGACCUGGUCUCGCGUCACGCUGCGCUGCGGCAUGUCCGGAGUCGUCGGCGUGCACUUCUCCCCUAGUAGGACGUCGCGACCCGUUGGGUGUCGUCGAUGGCCGGUCGGUCGUCUGUUGCGGCGCUUCAGACCGAUGUCGAAAGUCCGGCUGCCCGGCGGUAUUGAACGAAUAAUGGUAUCGGGCCGCAUGAAUGCGUUAGGCUCGUCGGCAGGCUCGUCUCGCUCGGAUACGGACCUAGCGCCGUUGCCGGGUGCUUGGCGUGGCUUUAGUCGACGAUGUCCUCGGACUGGCUCUUACCCGUCGGCGACGCUACGCCUGGGAUACUGCGUUC